This 1268-nucleotide long non-coding RNA is filed under the name Sus scrofa (pig). Its description in RNAcentral is "lncRNA (ENSSSCG00030037282.1)". The record is from RNAcentral. Lineage: Eukaryota; Metazoa; Chordata; Mammalia; Artiodactyla; Suidae.
ACCAUGCAAAGAGCCUGGACUGUUCCUGUCACUUACCCACUCUAGGCCACUAAAACGAAGGUGAUAACACCUGCCUGGCUGGUUCUGAGAAAGAGAGAAGAUGGAUAAUGUGUGUGAAGGACCUGUCACAAUCCCAGGUAAAAAGAAGCAAGAAUGAAGAAUUAAGCAGUUAAACAUGACUAGCUCUCCACCGCCAACAGCUCUACUAGCAAUCCUGCAGGCACAUCCCUCAGCAAGAUCACACCUGAAGGGUCGACCAGUCUGCAUACAAUGGAGAAGGAUGCCGACCCCAAUCUCCAGCCUCAAAGAUUCUCUGAGGUUCUCCCCCGCCAUCAUUUUUCCCUUUAAAAAUUGUCACGACUGAGCAGAAUCUUCUGAGUUGGUCUCUGGACACAAGUCUAUUGUCUCCUCAGAUUGCCCGCUUUUCAGAGGAAAACACCUCUCCUUUCUACUGACCUCACCUCUUGAAUCACUGCCUUCUGAGGGGUGAGCAGCCGAACCCAGAUUAAAACAAGUAAGAAUGAAGAAUGAAGUAGUUAAGGAAUAACCAGCUCUCUACCCUCAACAGCUCCCUUAGCAAUCCCGCAGGCUGGCAGGCUGAUCACCUGGGCAAGAUCCCGUUGGAAGACAGACGGAGUCAGCCAGUCUGCACGCAAUGGAGGAUGAUGCAGAAUCCAACCUCCUGCCUCACUGAUUCACUGAGAUUCUUUCCUUUUUUCCCUUCAAAAGGUGUCAGGGCUGAACAGAAUCUCUAUAGCUGGUCUCAGGACGUAAAUCCAUCUUCUCCCCAGAUUGCUGACUUUUCUAAGUCAAGUAUCUUUCCUUUCUCCCUAUAUUUGCCUCUUGAUUAUUGGCUUUGGAGUGUGGUAAUAUAAUCAGGUUUAGAUUGGGUUAUGAAAGUAGGACCUUUCUGAUAGGAUCAGUGCCCUUAGAGGAAGGGGAGAGGGAUCUCUCUCCAGUCACAAGCAAGGCCAGUGAGCACACAGAGGUAGGGUGGACACCUGCAAUCUGGAAGCCAAUCUGCUGGCACUAUCUUCCAGCAUCCAGAACUGUGAGAAAUAAGGUCUGCUGUUGAAGCCCCCUGUGUGUAGUAUUUUAUUAUAGCAGCCUGAACUGACUGAGAUACUUGGUAACACAUGAAUGCUAGCUACUUUGAUCAUUUAUGAAAUUUGGAGAUUAACAGCUGUUUUAUCUUAUUCAGUUGACCCUGAAAUAUAUUUUCUUUAUAUUAAAAUAUAUUUUCUUUAUAUUAAAACAAUUUAUAUUAA